UGCAGCUUUGUCAAAUUCAGUGCUCCCUUCUCAGUGGGUUGCACUGGCCAAAAUGGCUGCAACAGUGACUGUAGUUCAUGGGCCCCACGUUUCUUUACUAUGGACACUGGGGAUAAAUAUGUACUACAGACAAAA
Small nucleolar RNA from Myripristis murdjan (pinecone soldierfish), 135 nucleotides. Ensembl annotates it as small nucleolar RNA SNORA5. The record is from Ensembl. Lineage: Eukaryota; Metazoa; Chordata; Actinopteri; Holocentriformes; Holocentridae.